AAGUCGUAACAAGGUUUCCGUAGGUGAACCUGCGGAAGGAUCAUUAACGAAUAACUAUGGUGUCUUGGCUGUCGCUGGCUCCUCGGAGCAUCGUGCACGCCCGCCAUUUUUAUCUAUCCACCUGUGCACCGAAUGUAGGUCUGGAUGACUCUCGUCUCCGGGCGGAUGCGAGGUUUGCGUGUGCGUUGCGUACGGGCUCACCUCGAAUUUCCAGACUCUACGUCUUUUUACACACCCCAAACGUAUGAUGCAGAAUGUAGUCAAUGGGCCUUUAAAAGCCUAUAAAACACUAUACAACUUUCAGCAACGGAUCUCUUGGCUCUC
Molecule: unclassified non-coding RNA, 324 nt
Filed under: Coprinellus disseminatus
Lineage: Eukaryota; Fungi; Basidiomycota; Agaricomycetes; Agaricales; Psathyrellaceae
Description: partial internal transcribed spacer region
Rfam family: Eukaryotic small subunit ribosomal RNA (bases 1-46)
Source: RNAcentral